This 252-nucleotide ribosomal RNA is filed under the name Promalactis albisquama. RNAcentral describes it as "partial 28S ribosomal RNA". It matches the Rfam family "Eukaryotic large subunit ribosomal RNA", at positions 100 to 334 of the family's 3401-position model. Lineage: Eukaryota; Metazoa; Arthropoda; Insecta; Lepidoptera; Oecophoridae. The record is from RNAcentral.
GGAAAUAGCCCAGCACUGAAUCCCGCGGUUGUCACGGCCGCGGGAGAUGUGGUGUUCGGGAGGUUCCGCUUUCUCGUCGUCGCGUCUCCUGUCCAAGUUCGUCUUGAACGGGGCCGUUUUCCCGUAGAGGGUGCCAGGCCCGUAGCGACGGAGGGCGGCGGCGAGAGGGACUCUCCUCAGAGUCGGGUUGCUUGAGAGUGCAGCCCUAAGUGGGUGGUAAACUCCAUCUAAGGCUAAAAUUUACCGCAAGAC